UGUGGGUAGCGGUGAAAUUCCAAUCGAGCCCGGAGAUAGCUGGUUCUCCCCGAAAUAGCUUUAGGGCUAGCCUCAAGGUGAGAGAUACGGAGGUAGAGCACUGAAUGUCCUAGGGGGUAUUGCACCUACCGAAGACUAUCAAACUCCGAAUGCCGUCAUCUUAUACUUGGGAGUCAGACUGUGGGUGAUAAGAUUCAUAGUCGAAAGGGCAACAGCCCAGAUCGUCAGCUAAGGUCCCUAAAUGUAAGUUAAGUGGUAAAGGAUGUGGGAUUGCACAGACAACCAGGAUGUUGGCUUAGAAGCAGCCACUCAUUCAAAGAGUGCGUAAUAGCUCACUGGUCGAGUGAUCCUGCGCCGAAGAUUUCCGGGGCUAAAACUUACUACCGAAGCUACGGCAUCAGUAAUGAUGGGUAGGGGAGCUUCCCAUACGGGUUGAAGCAUGACCGUAAGGACAUGUGGACAGUAUGGGAGUGAGAAUGUUGGCAUGAGUAGCGAGAUGUGGGUGAGAAUCCCACAGGCCGUAAACCCAAGGUUUCCAG
Molecule: ribosomal RNA, 539 nt
Filed under: Clostridioides difficile
Lineage: Bacteria; Bacillati; Bacillota; Clostridia; Peptostreptococcales; Peptostreptococcaceae
Description: bacterial LSU rRNA
Rfam family: Bacterial large subunit ribosomal RNA
Source: RNAcentral